AUUGAACGCUGGCGGCAUGCCUUACACAUGCAAGUCGAACGGCAGCACGGGAGCAAUCCUGGUGGCGAGUGGCGAACGGGUGAGUAAAGUAUCGGAACGUGCCCAGUCGUGGGGGAUAACGUAGCGAAAGUUACGCUAAUACCGCAUACGAUCUAUGGAUGAAAGCGGGGGAUCGCAAGACCUCGCGCGAUUGGAGCGGACGAUAUCAGAUUAGGUAGUUGGUGGGGUAAAGGCCCACCAAGCCGACGAUCUGUAGCUGGUCUGAGAGGACGACCAGCCACACUGGGACUGAGACACGGCCCAGACUCCUACGGGAGGCAGCAGUGGGGAAUUUUGGACAAUGGGCGAAAGCCUGAUCCAGCCAUGCCGCGUGCAGGAUGAAGGCCUUCGGGUUGUAAACUGCUUUUGUACGGAACGAAAAGGACUGCCCUAAUACGGUGGUCCCAUGACGGUACCGUAAGAAUAAGCACCGGCUAACUACGUGCCAGCAGCCGCCGUAA
This 500-nucleotide ribosomal RNA is filed under the name uncultured bacterium. RNAcentral's name for it is "partial 16S ribosomal RNA". It matches the Rfam family "Bacterial small subunit ribosomal RNA", at positions 30 to 523 of the family's 1533-position model. The record is from RNAcentral.